GCAGUAUCCUAACUGUGCUAAGGUAGCAUAAUCAUUAGUCUUUUAAUUGGAGACUGGUAUGAAUGGCUUAACGAGAAAUUGACUUUUUUUGUUAUAUUAAUUGAAUUUAAUUUUUUAGUGAAAAAGCUAAAAUAAUUCAGAAAGACGAGAAGACCCUAUAGAGUUUUAUGUAUUUUUUGUAAUUGUUUUUAUUUGAUUUUUUAAGAACAAUUAUAAAAAAACAUUUUGUUGGGGCGAUAUUUAGAUAUAUAAAACUCUUUAUUUUAAUAAUUUUUUUGAAAAUAUUGUAUGAUCCUUUAUAAAAGAUCAAAAGAAAAAAUUACCUUAGGGAUAACAGCGUAAUCUUUUUUGAGAGUUCUAAUCGACAAAAAGGUUUGCGACCUCGAUGUUGGACUAAAAUUUAGACAGGGUGCAGUAGUUCUGUUUUAAGGUCUGUUCGACCUAUA
Molecule: ribosomal RNA, 446 nt
Filed under: Darwiniella sp. 2 MM-2014
Lineage: Eukaryota; Metazoa; Arthropoda; Thecostraca; Balanomorpha; Pyrgomatidae
Description: partial 16S ribosomal RNA
Rfam family: Bacterial large subunit ribosomal RNA
Source: RNAcentral